AUUGAACGCUGGCGGCAGGCCUAACACAUGCAAGUCGAACGAGUGGCGGACGGGUGAGUAAUGUCUGGGAAACUGCCUGAUGGAGGGGGAUAACUACUGGAAACGGUAGCUAAUACCGCAUACCAUCGGAUGUGCCCAGAUGGGAUGAGCUAGUAGGUGGGGUAAAGGCUCACCUAGACGACGAUCCCUAGCUGGUCUGAGAGGUGGACCAGCCACACUGGAACGGCGACACGGGCUAGACUCCUACGGGAGGCUUCAGUGGGGAUUAUUGCACUAUGGGCGAAAGCCUGAUGCAGCCAUGCCGCGGUGAUGAAGAAGGCCUUCGGGUUGUAAAGUACUUUCCGCGGGGUGGCGUUACCCGCAGAAGAAGCACCGGCUAACUCCGUGCCAGCAGCCGCGGUAAUAC
This 406-nucleotide ribosomal RNA is filed under the name uncultured bacterium. RNAcentral describes it as "partial 16S ribosomal RNA". It matches the Rfam family "Bacterial small subunit ribosomal RNA", at positions 30 to 526 of the family's 1533-position model. The record is from RNAcentral.